ACGGAGGGUGCGAGCGUUAAUCGGAAUUACUGGGCGUAAAGCGCAUGCAGGUGGUUCACUAAGUCAGAUGUGAAAGCCCCGGGCUCAACCUCGGAAUUGCAUUUGAAACUGGUGAACUGGAGUGCGGCAGAGGGGGGUGGAAUUUCAGGUGUAGCAGUGAAAUGCGUAGAGAUGUGGAGGAACACCGAUGGCGAAGGCAGCCCCCUGGGCAGACACUGACACUCA
This 225-nucleotide ribosomal RNA is filed under the name uncultured prokaryote. RNAcentral's name for it is "partial 16S ribosomal RNA". It matches the Rfam family "Bacterial small subunit ribosomal RNA", at positions 525 to 749 of the family's 1533-position model. The record is from RNAcentral.